UACGUAGGGUGCAAGCGUUGUCCGGAAUUAUUGGGCGUAAAGAGCUCGUAGGCGGUCUGUCGCGUCUGCUGUGAAAACUCAGGGCUUAACCCUGAGCUUGCAGUGGGUACGGGCAGACUAGAGUGCGGUAGGGGAGAUUGGAAUUCCUGGUGUAGCGGUGGAAUGCGCAGAUAUCAGGAGGAACACCAAUGGCGAAGGCAGGUCUCUGGGCCGUAACUGACGCUGAGGAGCGAAAGCGUGGGGAGCGAACAGG
This 253-nucleotide ribosomal RNA is filed under the name uncultured bacterium. Its description in RNAcentral is "partial 16S ribosomal RNA". It matches the Rfam family "Bacterial small subunit ribosomal RNA", at positions 524 to 776 of the family's 1533-position model. The record is from RNAcentral.